RNAcentral lists this ribosomal RNA (46 nucleotides) under Mus pahari (shrew mouse). RNAcentral's name for it is "rRNA (MGP_PahariEiJ_G0032783.1)". The record is from RNAcentral. Lineage: Eukaryota; Metazoa; Chordata; Mammalia; Rodentia; Muridae.
ACCCUGAUGCAUCAGUUCUUGUCUGAUCUGGAAGUUAAGCAGGUUC